Podarcis lilfordi (Lilford's wall lizard) is the source of this 438-nucleotide non-coding RNA. The record is from the annotation of a GenBank genome assembly. NCBI's taxonomy places the organism in Eukaryota, Metazoa, Chordata, Lepidosauria, Squamata, Lacertidae.
CAGGUUUCAGUGAUGCCUAUUAUGUCAUAUUUAGUUUGCUGUACCAAGAGCUCAAGCUCAUCUUGUUUAUUUCCCAUGCUUUGCGCAUUAGUGUACAGACAUUGAAGUCCAUUAAUCAUUCCCCGUGACUCUUAUUUAAGGAUUUUUCCUCCCACCACUAGGUCUGCGUGCUGUUUGCUCCAUUUGGUCUAUGACAUAUGGAUGAUCAUCUUCAUCAAUAGAUAGACUCCUACCUUCAGGAGCACUGUCUCCCUCCCCACAUUAGUCAGUUUAAAGCCCUCCUGAUGAGGUUUCUGAGAUUUUGGCAAAAACAUUCCUCCCAACCGUUGUGAGGUGCAGCCCAUCACUUGCCAGAAGUCCAUCUUCAAGAAACUGCAGUCCGUGAUCUAAGAAUCCAAACCGUUCCUGUUUACACCAUUUGCAAAGCCAGCUGUUCAC